AUUUACAACAACAUCAUUCAUUCAUUCAACAUUCCUUCUACACAUGUUUUCAACAAGUUGCUUUAAAGGGCAUAUACAUCAAGCAAAAACUUUAGAUAGAAAAAUUAACAACAGAGCACACACCAAACAUAUCAUUCUCCUAUGCCUAAACUCUUCUGCAUCCAACUACGUAUUUACCUCUCAACAAACCUCCUUCCAAUUACCAAUCUUCUCCUCAUUCUCUGCAAAAACAUAGUGCGAACUUGUCAUAUGCUUCCUUUAAUGCUCCGUUCUCCUACUUAUCACAGUAAACAACCAUUUCCUCAUCGUACCGGUUCAUAAGGUCCUCCUUGAUCUGCAAUGAGAAAUAGGGGGAUGCAGAACACCACUAAACUUAACCAAAACAACAAAUUGAUCAAAAUAUAAACCAAUUUGCAAAAAGGAGACUAACAUCUCGCCAACAUUGAAGCCACCUCUACCCAUGAUUUCUUGUGGUAUAAGAUGUCCAUGCUACCAUAGAUUUACAGCAAGCACUCCUCAACUUCUAUACGGAAGCUAAGGGCGGGGAGUGAUGAAGGAUGUGUAGGAUUGAAACAGAGUUAAACAGACCUACCAGAGGAGGGUGAAUGGUGGAGAAAACCAAAAGCCAAAAAUCUUUCGUGGAAUAAAAGAUUACCUCUGUCGAAAAAUAUCUUGAUCGCCUCGCUCCUAUGCCACCGCUACCUUGAUCGCGCCGCUCAUGUGCCGCCGAUCAGAUCGUCGAAACCCAGAAAGUCACCAGCGCCGAUCAGAUUGUCAGAAUCUAGAAAAUCACUAGUAGAUGAAAGUUAAAGACGUAGAUCGAAUGAACUUGACUUUAUUGCAUCAACUAGAAUUUACAAAGCGCACCAACAACGCUCCUCUCAAAAUUGUUGAUCUAGGAUCAACAACUAUUCAACUCAAAUUUUCUAAUUCUAAAUCUCACAAAAAGCAUACCAAGGGCAGACCACUC
This 970-nucleotide long non-coding RNA is filed under the name Oryza brachyantha (malo sina). RNAcentral describes it as "long non-coding RNA (OBRA_LNC000103)". Lineage: Eukaryota; Viridiplantae; Streptophyta; Magnoliopsida; Poales; Poaceae. The record is from RNAcentral.